AGCGAACGCUGGCGGCAGGCCUAAUACAUGCAAGUCGAGCGGUUCCUUCGGGAACAGCGGCGGACGGGUGAGUAACGCGUGGGAACGUGCCCUUUGGUACGGAACAACUGAGGGAAACUUCAGCUAAUACCGUAUGUGCCCUUCGGGGGAAAGAUUUAUCGCCAUUGGAGCGGCCCGCGUUAGAUUAGCUAGUUGGUGGGGUAAAGGCCUACCAAGGCAACGAUCUAUAGCUGGUCUGAGAGGAUGAUCAGCCACACUGGGACUGAGACACGGCCCAGACUCCUACGGGAGGCAGCAGUAGGGAAUCUUGCGCAAUGGGCGAAAGCCUGACGCAGCCAUGCCGCGUGAAUGAUGAAGGUCUUAGGAUUGUAAAAUUCUUUCACCGGGGACGAUAAUGACGGUACCCGGAGAAGAAGCCCCGGCUAACUUCGUGCCAGCAGCCGCGGUAAUACGAAGGGGGCUAGCGUUGCUCGGAAUUACUGGGCGUAAAGGGAGCGUAGGCGGAUAGUUUAGUCAGAGGUGAAAGCCCAGGGCUCAACCUUGGAAUUGCCUUUGAUACUGGCUAUCUUGAGUAUGGGAGAGGUAUGUGGAACUCCGAGUGUAGAGGUGAAAUUCGUAGAUAUUCGGAAGAACACCAGUGGCGAAAGCGACAUACUGGCCCAUUACUGACGCUGAGGCUCGAAGCGUGGGGGGCAAACAGGAUUAGAUACCUGGUAGUCCACGCUGUAAACGAUGAGUGCUAGUUGUCGGCAUGCAUGCAUGUCGGUGACGCAGCUAACGCAUUAAGCACUCCCGCCUGG
Molecule: ribosomal RNA, 800 nt
Filed under: uncultured bacterium
Lineage: Bacteria
Description: bacterial SSU rRNA
Rfam family: Bacterial small subunit ribosomal RNA
Source: RNAcentral